RNAcentral lists this unclassified non-coding RNA (249 nucleotides) under uncultured Pleosporales. Its description in RNAcentral is "sequence contains 5.8S rRNA gene, ITS2, 28S rRNA gene". Lineage: Eukaryota; Fungi; Ascomycota; Dothideomycetes; Pleosporales. The record is from RNAcentral. RNAcentral also lists the same sequence under 1 other name.
AACGCACAUUGCGCCCCUUGGUAUUCCAUGGGGCAUGCCUGUUCGAGCGUCAUUUGUACCUUCAAGCUCUGCUUGGUGUUGGGUGUUUGUCUCGCCUCUGCGCGCAGACUCGCCUCAAAACAAUUGGCAGCCGGCGUAUUGAUUUCGGAGCGCAGUACAUCUCGCGCUUUGCACUCAUAACGACGACGUCCAAAAGUACAUUUUUACACUCUUGACCUCGGAUCAGGUAGGGAUACCCGCUGAACUUAA